AGGACGAACGCUGGCGGCGUGCUUAACACAUGCAAGUCGAGCGGAAAGGCCCUUCGGGGUACUCGAGCGGCGAACGGGUGAGUAACACGUGAGUAAUCUGCCCCUAGCUCUGGGAUAGCUCCGGGAAACCGGGAUUAAUACCAGAUACGACCACUUUAGACAUCUGCUGUGGUGGAAAGAAUUUCGGCUAGGGAUGAGCUCGCGGCCUAUCAGCUUGUUGGUGAGGUAACGGCUCACCAAGGCGACGACGGGUAGCCGGCCUGAGAGGGCGACCGGCCACACUGGGACUGAGACACGGCCCAGACUCCUACGGGAGGCAGCAGUGGGGGAAUAUUGCGCAAUGGGGGAAACCCUGACGCAGCAACGCCGCGUGGAGGAUGAAGCCCCUUGGGGUGUAAACUCCUUUCGAUCGGGAAGAUAAUGACGGUACCGAUAUAAGAAGCCCCGGCUAACUUCGUGCCAGCAGCCGC
Molecule: ribosomal RNA, 470 nt
Filed under: uncultured bacterium
Lineage: Bacteria
Description: SSU rRNA
Rfam family: Bacterial small subunit ribosomal RNA
Source: RNAcentral